This 253-nucleotide ribosomal RNA is filed under the name uncultured bacterium. RNAcentral's name for it is "partial 16S ribosomal RNA". It matches the Rfam family "Bacterial small subunit ribosomal RNA", at positions 524 to 776 of the family's 1533-position model. The record is from RNAcentral.
GACAGAGGGGGCAAGCGUUGCUCGGAAUCACUGGGCGUAAAGGGCGCGUAGGCGGGAUGGCAAGUCGGUCGUGAAAUCCUUCGGCUCAACCGAAGAACGUCGGCCGAUACUGCCGUUCUUGAGGGAUGCAGAGGAGAUUGGAAUUCCCGGUGUAGCGGUGAAAUGUGUAGAGAUCGGGAGGAACACCGGUGGCGAAGGCGGGUCUCUGGGCAUCUCCUGACGCUGAGGCACGAAAGCGUGGGGAGCAAACAGG